This 253-nucleotide ribosomal RNA is filed under the name uncultured bacterium. RNAcentral describes it as "partial 16S ribosomal RNA". It matches the Rfam family "Bacterial small subunit ribosomal RNA", at positions 524 to 776 of the family's 1533-position model. The record is from RNAcentral.
UACAGAGGUCUCAAGCGUUGUUCGGAUUCAUUGGGCGUAAAGGGUGCGUAGGUGGCGGGGUAAGUCAGGUGUGAAAUCUCGGGGCUCAACCCCGAAACUGCACUUGAUACUGCCUUGCUCGAGUACUGGAGAGGAGAUUGGAAUUUACGGUGUAGCAGUGAAAUGCGUAGAUAUCGUAAGGAAGACUAGUGGCGAAGGCGAAUCUCUGGACAGUUACUGACACUGAGGCACGAAGGCCAGGGGAGCAAACGGG